RNAcentral lists this ribosomal RNA (468 nucleotides) under uncultured bacterium. RNAcentral describes it as "partial 16S ribosomal RNA". It matches the Rfam family "Bacterial small subunit ribosomal RNA", at positions 28 to 507 of the family's 1533-position model. The record is from RNAcentral.
GACGAACGCUGGCGGCGUGCUUAACACAUGCAAGUCGAACGGAAAGGCCCUGCUUUUGUGGGGUGCACGAGUGGCGAACGGGUGAGUAACACGUGAGUAUCCUGCCCCUGUCUUUGGGAUAACUUCAGGGAACUGGGGCGAAUAUCGGAUAGGAGCUACUGCUGCAUGGUGGGGGUUGGAAAGUUUCGGCGGUGGGGGAUAGACUGGCGGGUUAUGAGCUUGUUGGUGGGGUAGGGGCUUACAAAGGUUUUGAAGGGUAGCCGGCCUGGGAGGGUGACCGGGGACCAUGGGCCUGCGGUACGGACCAGACGGCUACCGGCCGCAGCAGUGGAGAACAUUGCACAACAGGCGCAAGUCAGAUGUGGCGACGCCGCGUGCGGAAUGCCGGGUUUCGAGUUGUGAACAACUUUGGACUUUAACGAAGAGGUCUUGACGGUAAUGGGUCAGAAAGCAACGGCUAACUACGUG